AAACUGAAGAGUUUGAUCCUGGCUCAGAUUGAACGCUGGCGGCAUGCCUUACACAUGCAAGUCGAACGGCAGCACGG
This 77-nucleotide ribosomal RNA is filed under the name Janthinobacterium saanense. Its description in RNAcentral is "partial 16S ribosomal RNA". It matches the Rfam family "Bacterial small subunit ribosomal RNA", at positions 1 to 77 of the family's 1533-position model. Lineage: Bacteria; Pseudomonadati; Pseudomonadota; Betaproteobacteria; Burkholderiales; Oxalobacteraceae. The record is from RNAcentral.